GGCCCCUUAGCUCAGCCGGAUAGAGCGACAGAUUCCUAAUCUGUAGGUCGCAGGUUCGAGUCCUGCAGGGGUCG
RNAcentral lists this transfer RNA (74 nucleotides) under Minwuia thermotolerans. It matches the Rfam family "tRNA". From Rfam's summary of the family: Transfer RNA (tRNA) molecules are approximately 80 nucleotides in length. Their secondary structure includes four short double-helical elements and three loops (D, anti-codon, and T loops). Further hydrogen bonds mediate the characteristic L-shaped molecular structure. tRNAs have two regions of fundamental functional importance: the anti-codon, which is responsible for specific mRNA codon recognition, and the 3' end, to which the tRNAs corresponding amino acid is attached (by aminoacyl-tRNA synthetases). tRNAs cope with the degeneracy of the genetic code in two manners: having more than one tRNA (with a specific anti-codon) for a particular amino acid; and 'wobble' base-pairing, i.e. permitting non-standard base-pairing at the 3rd anti-codon position. The record is from Rfam by way of RNAcentral. Lineage: Bacteria; Pseudomonadati; Pseudomonadota; Alphaproteobacteria; Minwuiales; Minwuiaceae.